Patiria miniata (bat star) is the source of this 1465-nucleotide long non-coding RNA. RefSeq lists it as uncharacterized. Lineage: Eukaryota; Metazoa; Echinodermata; Asteroidea; Valvatida; Asterinidae. The record is from RefSeq and is a predicted model, not a curated record. The transcript is spliced from 4 exons.
AGGAAACCAAUGCAAUUAGGGUUUAGUACCAGGCCUCUUUGGUGUAUCACAUGGAGCUCUUCAAUUCAUGGCUUAUGAAGAGUUAAAGAAGGUUCGACUCAAAAUUGGUGAUCAAUCCAGUAGUCAACAAUUUAGCUCUGUGGAAUACAUUGUUUUUGCUGCGUUAUCGAAGAUGUUUGCAGUGAUCACAACUUAUCCCUAUCAAGUGAUAAGGUCACGGUUACAAGAUCAGCAUCAGACUUACAAUGGUGUCCUAGAUACAAUCCUACAGACUUAUAGGCGGGAGAGUUGGAGAGGAUUUUACAAAGGCAUGUUGGCAAAUCUACUGCGGGUUGUUCCUGCAUGCUGCAUUACUUUUGUAGUGUAUGAAAAUGUAAGCCAAAUGCUUACAUCUCAAAGUCAUUGAAAAAAAAUCAAGGCUUCAAUUCUGAAGACUUACGUUAAGAUUUCUUUCCCUGGGUUUCACUGUUGUUUUUUCCUUGAAGGAAUCCGGUUUUAAAUCGGGAUAUCCGUAUGUUAAAAUGAUAUACACUUUAAUUAUGGUUUGUAACUUGUAAAGGGAAGAUACAACGUUUGCAAAACUCAGAAAACGAAAUGAUCAAAUUAUCCCGAAAUAUCUCAACUGGUGAAGUUGUGGCUCCUGGUUGUGCUGACAUUAUCAAGAAUUUUUUUCCCCAACCCAACAUUGGAGGAAACUGGCUUUUUUUCGAAAAGUGCUCCUAAUUUUUUAUAUUUAGUUUGUCUGCGUUUCCUUUGCAUGAUUAGACACCGUUCAAAAUUACAAGCCUGCUAAGACUGAUGCCCUGAUUUUACAAUUCCCCAAAGUCUAUAAAUUGCUCCGUUUCAUCUUAAGUCGGUCAGGAAACCAGAAUACAACAAUAUAACUUGUUAUCUUGGUUUUCCAGCUUCUACGGACCCAAAACGUGAAAAAAAAGGUCAGUGUAACAAUAGUUGCUGUAACACUCUCCAAACCAUUUAUUUCUGAAAAUUGCAGCAAAAGCAAACGUUGUACAUUCCUUUGAAGUAAAAGGCAUUGGUGAUUAUAUUAAACUUUCUGGAUUCCUGUAGGAUCAUGCAUUUCGUUAGGAUCAUCCAUUUCGUGUAUGAUAUUCAAAAUCCAAAGCAGAACUUUAAAAAUGUAAUGUGUUUUCGAGAAAACUGUGUAAACACUAUUUUCCAUUGCUUUCUUAGUAUUUCAAGUGCGCAAUUAAAGUUAGCAUUUUGAUGACUUUCUAGCUUAUAGAAAGAUAUCAUAUCCUUUACUUGUCGAAAAUUGUAAUUGUGUUAUUUUAAAAAGUUUUCAAAAAAUUGCUUAAAAAGAAGAAAAAUGUUCGGUACCUUGUCAAGAGUUUCUAUUCCUUAGGCGCUUUUAAUUUGUCAUUACUAUAUCGCUACAAGACGUUUAUUCAAUGGAUGAAAGCUGAUUGAUAAUUAAUAAAAUGUCUCCGAGAUAAAGAAAAAAUUA